AUUGAACGCUGGCGGCAUGCCUUACACAUGCAAGUCGAACGGCAGCACGGGCUUCGGUCUGGUGGCGAGUGGCGAACGGGUGAGUAAUGUAUCGGAACGUACCAUUGAGUGGGGGAUAACGUAGCGAAAGUUACGCUAAUACCGCAUAUUCUCUCCGGAGGAAAGCAGGGGACCGCAAGGCCUUGCGCUCUUUGAGCGGCCGAUAUCAGAUUAGCUAGUUGGUGGGGUAAAAGCUCACCAAGGCGACGAUCUGUAGCGGGUCUGAGAGGAUGAUCCACCACACUGGAACUGAGACACGGUCCAGACGCCUACGGGAGGCAGCAGUGGGGAAUUUUGGACGAUGGGGGCAACCCUGAUCCAGCCAUGCCGCGUGAGUGAAGAAGGCCUUCGGGUUGUAAAGCUCUUUCGGCCGGGAAAAAAUCGCAUGAGUUAAUACCUUGUGUGGAUGAUGGUACCGGAAUAAGAAGCACCGGCUAACUACGUGCCAGCCGCCGCCGUAC
RNAcentral lists this ribosomal RNA (500 nucleotides) under uncultured bacterium. Its description in RNAcentral is "partial 16S ribosomal RNA". It matches the Rfam family "Bacterial small subunit ribosomal RNA", at positions 30 to 523 of the family's 1533-position model. The record is from RNAcentral.